CCUACGGGAGGCAGCAGUGAGGAAUAUUGGUCAAUGGGCGGAAGACUGAACCAGCCAAGUCGCGUGAGGGAUGAAGGCACUACGGGUUGUAAACUUCUUUUGUACGGGAAUAAAGCUCCUUACGUGUAGGUCUUUGCAUGUACCGUAUGAAUAAGGACCGGCUAACUCCGUGCCAGCAGCCGCGGUAAUACGGAGGGUGCGAGCGUUCUCCGGAUUUAUUGGGUUUAAAGGGAGCGUAGGUCGUUUGUCAAGCCUGCUGUGAAAUGUCCGGGCUCAACCCCGGCCUUGCAGUGAAAACUGGCAGUCUUGAGUUCGCGGGAGGUAGGCGGAAUGCGUGGUGUAGCGGUGAAAUGCAUAGAUAUCACGCAGAACGCCGAUUGCGAAGGCAGCUUGCUGGAGCCAAACUGACGCUGAUGCACGAAAGCGCGGGUAUCGAACAGGAUUAGAUACCCUAGUAGUC
Molecule: ribosomal RNA, 460 nt
Filed under: uncultured bacterium
Lineage: Bacteria
Description: partial 16S ribosomal RNA
Rfam family: Bacterial small subunit ribosomal RNA
Source: RNAcentral